ACGGCUACCACAUCCAAGGAAUGCUCAGGUGCGCGGAAUUACCCAAUCCCGACUCGGGGAGGUAGUGACAAUAAAUAACAAUGCCGGGCUAUCUUAGUCUGGCAAUUGGAAUGAGUACAAUCUAAAUCCCUUAACGAGGAACAAUUGGAGGGCAAGUCUGGUGCCAGCAGCCGCGGUAAUUCCAGCUCCAAUAGCAGGCUCCCUCUCCGGAAUCA
RNAcentral lists this ribosomal RNA (215 nucleotides) under Latrunculia oparinae. Its description in RNAcentral is "partial 18S ribosomal RNA". It matches the Rfam family "Eukaryotic small subunit ribosomal RNA", at positions 403 to 598 of the family's 1831-position model. The record is from RNAcentral. Lineage: Eukaryota; Metazoa; Porifera; Demospongiae; Poecilosclerida; Latrunculiidae.